RNAcentral lists this ribosomal RNA (474 nucleotides) under uncultured bacterium. RNAcentral's name for it is "bacterial SSU rRNA". It matches the Rfam family "Bacterial small subunit ribosomal RNA", at positions 8 to 526 of the family's 1533-position model. The record is from RNAcentral.
AGAGUUUGAUCAUGGCUCAGAGCGAACGCUGGCGGCAGGCUUAACACAUGCAAGUCGAGCGGGCGUAGCAAUACGUCAGCGGCAGACGGGUGAGUAACGCGUGGGAACGUACCUUUUGGUUCGGAACAACACAGGGAAACUUGUGCUAAUACCGGAUAAGCCCUUACGGGGAAAGAUUUAUCGCCGAAAGAUCGGCCCGCGUCUGAUUAGCUAGUUGGUGAGGUAACGGCUCACCAAGGCGACGAUCAGUAGCUGGUCUGAGAGGAUGAUCAGCCACAUUGGGACUGAGACACGGCCCAAACUCCUACGGGAGGCAGCAGUGGGGAAUAUUGGACAAUGGGCGCAAGCCUGAUCCAGCCAUGCCGCGUGAGUGAUGAAGGCCCUAGGGUUGUAAAGCUCUUUUGUGCGGGAAGAUAAUGACGGUACCGCAAGAAUAAGCCCCGGCUAACUUCGUGCCAGCAGCCGCGGUAAUAC